UAAAAUGAUACAGCUCUCCAUAACUGCAAUCUCUUUCUUUGUAUAUGAGUUUUUAAUUUCUUGUAACUGACCUUGACACAGAGUCAUUUGUCUGCAACCAUAUUUGAAAUCUAGACGGUCUUGACUGGUGUGAAUCCAAGAUAAAGGGAUCUGAAUAUGUGAUGGAUAUUUUUGGCUUACCCCUGCUCUUUGCUGUCCUACAAGUCCAGCAGUGCUGGUGCUUGGGGGAAGGAGUUUCACCCACAAUCAAAGAGCUCAGAUACUCCAUCUCUCAGGAUGCAGGACCCUUCAUGAUGACAGCCUCAACUUCAAGAUCAGUUUAA
Molecule: long non-coding RNA, 323 nt
Filed under: Callithrix jacchus (white-tufted-ear marmoset)
Lineage: Eukaryota; Metazoa; Chordata; Mammalia; Primates; Cebidae
Description: lncRNA (ENSCJAG00000075408.1)
Source: RNAcentral